GAGCAGUUCGGACAGUUGAUAGCUACCUUAUUAGGACACUGUCAUGGGUCCAGUGAAUACGUUCAGCUGCAUGAAAUCAUGAACCUCUGUUUCGAAGAAACCGUAGAAAACAGACCAAAAGCGUCUUACAUCCGGGAGUUGUUAGAAGAGCUUCGGUGUUGUGUUGGAGUCUGGGAUACAUGUCUAUAAAUGGAAAGAACUUCGUACAGCAUUACUUUACAACUACUGACUACAACUAUUAUCUUCGGACGGACAAUUCUUGUAUUAUUACGUUAUAAAUAUAAACUAAUUCCACUGGAUGUUGAUCAUCCAUAUAAACAUUGAAUCCAUCUUUGCCAAUACUGACAAUACUUGUAUUACUUGAAUAUAAAUAGUUACUCAUUUGGCAGGAUGUUCAAAAUAUUGUAGCUGAUUUUAAUAAACUAUAUCUUUACUGAGUCCUUCAAUUA
Molecule: long non-coding RNA, 449 nt
Organism: Stylophora pistillata
Lineage: Eukaryota; Metazoa; Cnidaria; Anthozoa; Scleractinia; Pocilloporidae
Source: RefSeq, a predicted model, not a curated record